RNAcentral lists this long non-coding RNA (793 nucleotides) under Dasypus novemcinctus (nine-banded armadillo). Its description in RNAcentral is "lncRNA (ENSDNOG00000052675.1)". The record is from RNAcentral. Lineage: Eukaryota; Metazoa; Chordata; Mammalia; Cingulata; Dasypodidae.
UCUGACCCCACCAAGAGGCCCUGCGCUGACCGGUCUCCCGACUAACCUCCCCCCUCGGGGUCCGACUCAAGUGCACCCGGGCCCCGCCGCCCCAGUGCCUGGAAGGAGGGGAGGAGACCCGCACCAGCACCGGCUUGGACUGGGCAACACGUGUUGGGGGCGGGAGGGGCGGAAUCGGGUGAGCUCAGGGUGGCCCAGGGCUGGGGUGCGGGGCGAGGCCCGACACUGCCCCGUGCGCUCUCCCGUCUCAGCCUCGGCUCCCCGGAAUCUCGGCGGGAGGCCCCCGACCCUCCGAAGAUAAGAAAACUGAGAAGCGGCCAGGCCCCCGCCCCUGGAAUGCGCAGAGGUGGAGGCGCGCCGCCCUCGGAACUCCCGGGCGUUGGCGCUUCGGGCCGGCGGGCGGGCCCUGGCCCCGGGCGCUCAGAGGCCUGGAACCGCGGGCCGGGCGCCCGCUCUGCCACGCAGCCGCAGAGGCUCGGCCCGCGGGCGGGCUGGAGGAAGAGAGGCGACGCCCCCCUGGAGCGCGGCAGGAACCCGGCCGCCGGCCCCAGAAGUGAUGAAAGCGGCGACCGAGAUCAGGUCACGCCGAAGCCGUUGCCCUUUUAAGGGGAAGCCUUGAAACGGUGCCCGGGUUCCAUGUUUGCAUCCGCCUCGCGGGGAGGAAACUCCAUGUUGUAACAAAGUUUCCUCCGUGCCCCCUCCCUCCCCCUCCCCCCUUGAGCCUGGCUCCCCUCCCCUCCGAAGCUCGCGGGGAUCCCUCCCUCCCACCCCUCCCCUCCCCCCCGCGCCCCGA